This 254-nucleotide ribosomal RNA is filed under the name uncultured bacterium. Its description in RNAcentral is "partial 16S ribosomal RNA". It matches the Rfam family "Bacterial small subunit ribosomal RNA", at positions 524 to 776 of the family's 1533-position model. The record is from RNAcentral.
UACGGGGGGAGCAAGCGUUGUUCGGAUUUACUGGGCGUAAAGGGCGCGUAGGCGGUCAGCACAAGUCAGUUGUGAAAUCUCCGGGCUUAACUCGGAAACUGCCAUUGAUACUAUCAGUCUUGAAUACCGUGGAGGUCAGCGGAAUAUGUCAUGUAGCGGUGAAAUGCUUAGAUAUGACAUAGAACACCAAUUGCGAAGGCAGCUGGCUACACGAAUAUUGACACUGAUGCACGAAAGCGUGGGGAUCAAACAGG